Molecule: long non-coding RNA, 214 nt
Organism: Phacochoerus africanus (Common warthog)
Lineage: Eukaryota; Metazoa; Chordata; Mammalia; Artiodactyla; Suidae
Exons: 3
Source: RefSeq, a predicted model, not a curated record
GUAAGCACUGGCCAUCCUUUCUCUGAAUAGCACCCUGACAACCACCCUGAAUGGGUCUUUUCCAAAACUUAAGGAAGUAGAAAAUCCAGGAGUAGUUAGCCCUGGCUAGCUUCUUUCUGCUCCAUGUUUCUACACAUUUGACUUGUCCGGAUACCUCAUGUGGAGUGUCAGGUGGCAGAAACGGUGUCUAUACUAUUUCUCUGCAUAUUAGCAC